UGUAGACCAGUUUUUAAAGAUGUUGAACUGUUUCUUGCAUUUGCUACACUGCAUAGUUUAGUUGAGAGAAUUAAUAAAGUGACUACCAGUCUGUUUCACACUGUCUUCACUCAACACAUUCUUUUUUCAAUUUAGGGUUUCCCCUACCCCUCUCCUUCACACCUCUCAAAACCAUUUUGGAACACGGAGGAAUUAAUUAUGAGAAAGGUUUUGUAAACACUAGGUAAAUUUGGUAGUUUGCUGUUCUAGGUUGGUCAUUGUUUAGAUAAGCCUGAGGACACUCUUCCAGUGAAAGUACUUAUUACAUAAUGGAAGGCCCAGGAAACAGAUGUUUUAUUCUUAACCUCCAUUCGUAGGUUAUUCAUGCCUAUUUAAUUAGUUUGUUGCAUGCUAAUUGAAGCAGAGAUUUAGCCAUCCUUUUCCCUAAUCUGGUGUUUUUCACUUGAUGGUCCAAGUAGAAAGUAUUUGGAUAACAUACUGACUUAGAAGGAUUAGCCUGGUCCGGUUCAGUUUGCCCAGGAAUGUAUGCAGCCACUCUUGAGGUUUGAAAUGUCUAAUGGAUUGACUUGCAGCAGGAGUCAAAAUAGCAAACUCUUUCGAAAUAUUCUUCAUAAAUUUUUUGCCUCAUUUUAUGUAAGCACAUAUUUCAAGUAUCUCUUCAGGAUUUAUUUACUAUGGGAUUUUAUUUUGUUCAUUUUAUCUAGCUUAAUCAGUUUAUGAACUGAUCUUUGAUACCUCAAACACAGUUGUUUUGGGGGACAAUGGUGAGAGGUUUUUGUUUUGUUUUUUUUCUUGUGAUGUAUAUGGUCUUGAUCUCUAGAGGUUUGAAAAUAGUAUCUUCUAGAACUGCUUUGUUUGAAACAAUAGCCAUAUACAGGUACCUUAGCAACUGGGAACACAGCUCAUGGAUAGAGCACUUGUCUAGCAUGUGUGAGGCCCUGGGUUUGAUUCCCAAUACUCUGGGGGAGGAGAGCUUUGUUUUUAAAAAAUUUAGUUCCUCCGAUGCAUGAGGCUUAUAUUUCAAAUGCUUGAACUACCAGUAAAGAACAAUUCAUUCAUCAUAGAAC
Molecule: long non-coding RNA, 1067 nt
Filed under: Marmota monax (woodchuck)
Lineage: Eukaryota; Metazoa; Chordata; Mammalia; Rodentia; Sciuridae
Source: RNAcentral